UUUUGAAUUUUAAAUUUUAAAUUUUGAAUUUCAAAUUUAAACUUAUAGAUUACACCUUAAUCUACGCAUGCAUAUGUAUAUCAUAUUCUAGAACCAUGCUCUGAUACCAUUUGAAGCGAAAAUUUAGUGCAGGGGCAAAAUGGUAAUUUUAAAACUUUUUCAAAAUUAUUAUUUUACAGCGAAAUUAUUAAUUAAUCUCAUUAAUUAAUACUAAUUAACCCUAUACUAGGAUCUAAAUAUGAUACAACAGCAUGCAUUUAAAUUUGAAAUUCAAAUUUGAAUCAGUAAACCUUUUACAGUACUGUGUUCAGAACACAUCAUCUUUUGC
This 328-nucleotide long non-coding RNA is filed under the name Elaeis guineensis (African oil palm). RNAcentral's name for it is "long non-coding RNA (EGUI_LNC000534)". Lineage: Eukaryota; Viridiplantae; Streptophyta; Magnoliopsida; Arecales; Arecaceae. The record is from RNAcentral.